Molecule: long non-coding RNA, 279 nt
Filed under: Pan troglodytes (chimpanzee)
Lineage: Eukaryota; Metazoa; Chordata; Mammalia; Primates; Hominidae
Description: long non-coding RNA NONPTRT001977
Source: RNAcentral
UCCAGUUCCUGUUCCUCUCGGAGGUCUUGCAGUGGAGAGCACAGACCACCCCGGACCACGUCCUCUACACGCUGCUCAACUGUCGGGGUGCGAUAGCGAACUCGCUGACCUGCGUGCAGCUGCACAAGAGAGCUGAGAAGAUCGCCGUGAUGCUGAUGGAGAGGGGCCACCUUCAGGACGGCGACCACGUGGCCUUGGUCUACCCCCCAGGAAUAGACCUGAUAGCAGCGUUUUAUGGUUGCCUGUAUGCAGGCUGUGUGCCAAUAACCGUCCGUCCCC